Molecule: ribosomal RNA, 454 nt
Filed under: uncultured bacterium
Lineage: Bacteria
Description: partial 16S ribosomal RNA
Rfam family: Bacterial small subunit ribosomal RNA
Source: RNAcentral
GAUGAACGCUGACAGAAUGCUUAACACAUGCAAGUCUACUUGAACUUCGGUUUGGGUGGCGGACGGGUGAGUAACGCGUAAAGAACUUGCCUCACAGUUAGGGACAACAUUUGGAAACGAAUGCUAAUACCUGAUAUUAUGAUUUUAGGGCAUCCUAAAAUUAUGAAAGCUAUAUGCGCUGUGAGAGAGCUUUGCGUCCCAUUAGCUAGUUGGAGAGGUAACGGCUCACCAAGGCGAUGAUGGGUAGCCGGCCUGAGAGGGUGAACGGCCACAAGGGGACGGAGACACGGCCCUUACUCCUACGGGAGGCAGCAGUGGGGAAUAUUGGACAAUGGACCAAAAGUCUGAUCCAGCAAUUCUGUGUGCACGAUGACGUUUUUCGGAAUGUAAAGUGCUUUCAGUUGGGAAGAAAAAAAUGACGGUACCAACAGAAGAAGUGACGGCUAAAUACGUG